This 1556-nucleotide unclassified non-coding RNA is filed under the name Bombus terrestris (buff-tailed bumblebee). RNAcentral's name for it is "misc RNA ENSBTSG00005021476.1". The record is from RNAcentral. Lineage: Eukaryota; Metazoa; Arthropoda; Insecta; Hymenoptera; Apidae.
AAUGAUUCGUCCCACAUUUCUUUUUUCUUUUUCGAAGGUGAAAGACAUCUUCUUAGCAGAGAAGUGAUGGAGGAUGUUAUCGUUUAAUAAGCCCGAGAAUCUAAAUGAGGUCGUCCAUAAGAAACGUAGAGGUACAUUUACUGUUAGCUCGUAGAAAACGGUACUUCCCAAAAAGAUAGGAAGGAAAUACAGUUUUAUCGUGACUACAUUCCAGUCACGGCCGAUUGAUCGUAACUCUACUACGUGCAUUUCAUAAUACGAUUUUAUUUCGCGGUAACAUCUGUAAAUCUAGAGAUCAAAUGACAAACGAACCAUUUCCAUCAGAAGAGGAUAAGGAAGUGUUUGGAAGCCUGCAAAGUCGAAGAUUUCGUUCCAGCGUAAAAAUAAUCAUCGUCCCGUUGGAAGAAAAAUCAUACACGACAAGAUGGAGAAAAAAAAAAGAGGAAAAGAAUUCGCUGACUGGCUGCAUUCCAAUCAGUCGUAUCUUCUCCGUGCGUUGCACCUACACGCGAGUGCAACGCCUUUCAUUAAUGGGAUUCUUUAUUAACAGUGCCUAAUUUAAGGACUGGCUUCUGCGGCUUGAUAUUUAAUUUUCCGGCAAGGAAAAGCGCAGUGGAAAUCAAAGAAAUUACGCGAUUAAAAUCGAGUUCAGAGAAACAAUUCGCGAACAAUAAAAGCGAUGCAACGUAACACUCAACUUUCUCGUUACAAAGCGAACAAUGCAUUACAGGAAGAGUCCGUAACUAAUUCGAAUUUCGCAGCGGCGGUUGUUUCUAAGAAAAUAAGUAAAAAUGCAUUUAAAUCAGAGCCAACGACGUAGAAAAACGCACGAUGUAAUUUUGCAACGGAAUCAAAGCGACUCUGCACGCAACUUUGAUCAUCAAUAAUUAAGAACAAUCGCCGCCGCUCGUUACAGAUAAAUCGUCGACGGUAUUUUACACGAACUUCAUUGUUUAUCAUUAAAUACAUUUGCUACCGUGAUGCUACGUAUUUGUACGAAUAACAAAUUUAAAGUUAUGAAAUCUAAGCAGAAGAAAAAAUAUGUAGUAGAAUAAAUAUCAAACAAAUUCUUGGAAGUUUUUUCACAAUUACGAUAUCAAGAAAUUAAAUAAUGUAAUAAUGUAAAUAGGUUUAAAAAAAGAUUGUAAAUGAAAUACAUUAACGUUAGAAAAUGGAAAUAAAAAUAAUUCUACGUUCCCUUCACAGAACGUAUGUAAUGCGUAGUCAUUUUUUAUUAAAUACCUGUUAUCAUAAUCUAUAUUUAUUGCAAAAGCAGUUACUUCAUAAUUAUGAAUAUGUAUGUUUGUAGUGUACAUAUAUUAGCCUUACUCGCAUGGUCUUACACGCAACUAGAUCUUAAGCAAACAGAUUUUAAAUUAACAUGCAAAUAAGUAUGUGUAAUGAGAGGAUUAAUAGAUUUACAAGAUAAGAGAAAACAGACGAAAGGGCAGGAAAAUUGAUCGUUAGGAGGAUGCCAGUAGAAAUUGGACCAUUCGACAACCUGUACGCAUGGAAAUGCGCCUGUUCACACGCACAUGCGUGGGUGGCUUAAUCAA